RNAcentral lists this ribosomal RNA (327 nucleotides) under uncultured eukaryote. RNAcentral's name for it is "partial 18S ribosomal RNA". It matches the Rfam family "Eukaryotic small subunit ribosomal RNA", at positions 1470 to 1796 of the family's 1831-position model. The record is from RNAcentral.
CCCUUAGAUGUUCUGGGCUGCACGCGCGCUACACUGAUGCGCUCAACGAGUUUUAACCUUGCCUGGAAAGGUUGGGUAAUCUUUUUAAAACGCAUCGUGAUGGGGAUAGAUUAUUGCAAUUAUUAAUCUUCAACGAGGAAUUCCUAGUAAGCGCAAGUCAUCAGCUUGCGUCGAUUACGUCCCUGCCCUUUGUACACACCGCCCGUCGCUCCUACCGAUUGGGUGUGCUGGUGAAAUGUUCGGAUCGGCCGUUUGUCGCGGUUUCCGCGGCUCGUGGCUGAGAAGUUCAUUAAACCCUCCCACCUAGAGGAAGGAGAAGUCGUAACA